RNAcentral lists this long non-coding RNA (897 nucleotides) under Ananas comosus (pineapple). RNAcentral describes it as "long non-coding RNA (ACOM_LNC044025)". Lineage: Eukaryota; Viridiplantae; Streptophyta; Magnoliopsida; Poales; Bromeliaceae. The record is from RNAcentral.
UAUUAAUUUAGUUAUAUAAGAAAACAUAAAAUUCUAUUUAUUAGUUGUUUUAACAUUGGUGCAUUAACGUAGGCUACAUUUAAUUUGAGUAUAAAUAAGAACUACUUUUUUCACGAAUAGUUACAGGUUCAAGUAUACGUAUGAAUUAGAUUAAUUUUGUAUUUGUAAAAAAUUUGAGUUGUUUCUUAAAAUAAGGUAAAGAGUGUUUGAGUAGUUAAAUUGGAAUAUGAGAAAUAAGAGUUAUAAUUUUAAAUUAAAAAUACUUUAUCUAAGUAAUUAACAUCAAAAUAUUAAUUAAAAAUAAUUUAAUAAAUUAAUAAAUUUAUUAAUUAGCUAUGAAUAUUGUGUAAGAUAAUGAAUUUAUAUUAAUUAAUUAAUUAAAUAUAAAAAUUAAUUUAACUUUUUAAUUAAUUAGUAAAUUAUUUUAGUUAGAGAACUAGUAAAAAAUUAAUUAGAGUAAUAAAAAGCAUAUUAGUUAGUAAAUAUUAGUUUAAAAAUAAACAUAUUAAAUGAUAAUUAUUAAUAAUUAAUUAGCUAAUUAUAAUAAAUUAAUUAAUUUUUUAUUAUUUAAGCAAUAGAUAAUAAUUUAUAUUAAUUAAAUUAAUUAAUAAUUUAAUAUCAUAAUUAAAAUUAAAUUUAGAUUUUAAUUAAUUUUAUUUUCACUUGCGAAUAAAUUUAUCGCAGAAAAAAUGGUGGAACAACAGUUAUAGACUUAUAUCGAAUUAUACCAGCUUAUUGUAGAGAUCUGAAAAUUACUGUUCUCGAGUAUAAAAAUUUACGUUUAAAAAUAAAUCGGGGAGCCUUUCCCUCUGUUCCCAAACCAAAUGCUGCCUAGGGAAUCCUAAUCGUUCACAACUUAUUCCCUCAUUCAACUUUUUUUUCACUACUUAGAUUAUU